GUGCCAGCAGCCGCGGUAAUACGUAGGGGGCAAGCGUUGUCCGGAUUUACUGGGCGUAAAGAGCGCGUAGGCGGAAGCUUAAGUGUGGCCUGAAAGCCCCCGUCUCAACCGGGGAAGGUGGCUGCAAACUGGGCUUCUUGAGGGGGAUAGGGGAAAGUGGAAUUCCGGGUGUAGCGGUGAAAUGCGCAGAUAUCGGGAGGAACACCAAUGGCGAGGGCAGCUCGCUGGGACGUGACUGACGCUCAGGCACGAAAGCGUGGGGAGCAAAAGGGAUUAGAUACCCCUGUAGUCC
This 292-nucleotide ribosomal RNA is filed under the name uncultured bacterium. RNAcentral describes it as "partial 16S ribosomal RNA". It matches the Rfam family "Bacterial small subunit ribosomal RNA", at positions 505 to 796 of the family's 1533-position model. The record is from RNAcentral.